Molecule: long non-coding RNA, 271 nt
Filed under: Phoenix dactylifera (date palm)
Lineage: Eukaryota; Viridiplantae; Streptophyta; Magnoliopsida; Arecales; Arecaceae
Description: long non-coding RNA (PDAC_LNC009837)
Source: RNAcentral
GGGGCGGGCUUCCUUCUUCGGGCGCUGCUGGGAGCUGAAGAGGAAGGUGGCGACGCGGAUCCUUUGCUGCAUCACGGGCGGAAGAAAUGGGAUCGCCGGUGAUUGCGGAAGAGGGGGUUGGGAUUUCGAAUCCGGCUCGGACGCGAUGCUGGGAGCUGAAACGGAAGGUGGGGACACGGGCUUCCUUCUUCGGUUGCUGGGAAGGAGGAGGACAUGGAUGAUGAUCUGGGAAGGAUGCGGAAUCACGGGAGAGCUGGGAUCUUCCGUGAUU